Molecule: long non-coding RNA, 646 nt
Filed under: Medicago truncatula (barrel medic)
Lineage: Eukaryota; Viridiplantae; Streptophyta; Magnoliopsida; Fabales; Fabaceae
Description: lncRNA gene10246
Source: RNAcentral
AACAUAUUUAACCAUUAAUUGAAUGAACAUAGGCUACAAACACUUGCAUAAUUUAAUAUGCUUAUAAUCAUAUUACAUAUCAUUUAUUGAAGUGACUAACUAUAAUCAUCAGAGACAUUGUAUUUUUCCUAACUUCUAAAAUCAAGAUAGACAACAACAUUUUGGCAAAGAACCUAAAAUGAUUUUUUGUUUUUGCUGAAUAAAAAAAUAUGAAUAGUACAAGCUUAUUCUAAAUCUUAGCGCUAGACAAAUGAUAUAUUAGAGUUAUAAGAUAAGAUUAUGAUGAUAUGCAAAUAAAUUUUACAAUAAUAAACAUAAAGAUCUCCUAAAAAAAACAUAAAUAUAUUUUUUGACUUAAUCACUGGGAUCCACACAGGAACAACCAUUUGAAAAACACUUCAUAACUCCAUCGUGGUCACAUAGAAAACUUGGACAAUCAGAGUCAGAACUGCAAGGACCAAAACGUUCUGUGACAUAAACAAGAAUAAAUCUAAUGUUAGUUAAAGAUGUGAAAGAUUGUUUUUUUCUUUUUGGUGAAUAAGAUGUGAAAGAUUGAGUAUUAGUCAAAUAUGAAAAUUUGAAAAUAAGUGUAAAAAUGACAUACCGAAGUAGGUUACAAGAAAUAAUGAAAGGAAGAGGAUAAUAG